UAACAUACACGAUUCCACAAGUAUAAGCAAAGGUGGUCUCUAAUCCUUAUCUAUUGGUAUUUGGUUUCACUUGAGCUUUCAUUUUACAUAUGGUUGUAUUAUGCCUUACAUAUUCAGUACAUUCUUUCGUACUGACGUCCCUUAUGGGGACAUUGCAUUUCAUGCUGCAGGUACAAGUACUCAACUAAUAGAUCUCCCCAAUAGAAGCACAUGAUACUCA
RNAcentral lists this long non-coding RNA (220 nucleotides) under Solanum tuberosum (potato). RNAcentral describes it as "long non-coding RNA (STUB_LNC000206)". Lineage: Eukaryota; Viridiplantae; Streptophyta; Magnoliopsida; Solanales; Solanaceae. The record is from RNAcentral.